UACAGAGGGGGCAAGCGUUGUUCGGAAUUACUGGGCGUAAAGGGCGCGUAGGCGGCCUGCUAAGUCGAACGUGAAAUCCCCGGGCUUAACCCGGGAACUGCGUCCGAUACUGGUGGGCUUGAAUCCGGGAGAGGGAUGUGGAAUUCCAGGUGUAGCGGUGAAAUGCGUAGAUAUCUGGAGGAACACCGGUGGCGAAGGCGGGACUCUGGGCCGAUACUGACGCUGAGGAGCGAAAGCGUGGGGAGCAAACAGG
RNAcentral lists this ribosomal RNA (253 nucleotides) under uncultured bacterium. RNAcentral's name for it is "partial 16S ribosomal RNA". It matches the Rfam family "Bacterial small subunit ribosomal RNA", at positions 524 to 776 of the family's 1533-position model. The record is from RNAcentral.